This is a long non-coding RNA of Papaver somniferum (opium poppy), 2027 nucleotides long. RefSeq lists it as uncharacterized. The transcript has 6 exons. The record is from RefSeq and is a predicted model, not a curated record. Lineage: Eukaryota; Viridiplantae; Streptophyta; Magnoliopsida; Ranunculales; Papaveraceae.
GCAAACACCAAUUUUCUUUCCUCUCACCUUGUUGUAAGCAAAAAAAACACACACACAAGAAGAACCCUAAAUCCGUCUCAUUUCUCGAAGUAAGAAGGAAAAGGAGAUCGCAAGUUAGUUAAUAUCUUCAUUUCUAAGGACUAAGUGUUCUUACAAUGGCAAAUUGUGCAGAUGGAAUAAUGAUGCUGGUAGAUAAUGAUAAUGAGGAAUUUGAAAAUCUUUAUAAGGAAUUCCAAUCUUUAAUGUAUAAAAAAAAACUGAAUCUGAAUCAGAAACUGAAUAUCCAGAUAUAACUGGAUCUUGUUUUCCCACUAGUUUGGGGUUCCAAUUGGGACAAGAGGUUCUUCUCAUAGGAGAUCCAACCAAGGUACAACGAAGGAAGCAAAUUGUAUAUGCAGUCCAUGCAGAAUGGGAUUUGGAGUGCACCAACUUGUUGAAGUUUUUAAACUUUAUUAUUCCAUUAGAAAUGCAACACAGUCCAAUUUAUUAUGCAGAAAUGGUGGUAAGAUUUAUAAGAAAGGAAACAGGUUGCUCAAGAGACCAACAUUGGGCAGUUUUAAUUGGAGGUUCUGAUUCUGGUUCUCUGCCUCGGUUAUGGCUUGCUUGAUAAGACUGGGAUUUCAGCUAUAAAAGAAAGAACAAGCAUUGGAAACUAUAGGCAUCUUGUGGAUUUUGCAUUAAAUAGAAGGAACUUUAAAUCAGAUAUGACUGUGAAUGCGGUUAUUGAUAUUUGCAAAUAUGUUCGUGUCAUCAUAAAAGACAACACUACGUGUUCUAAUGUGCCUGAUAUACUUAAAAGUGUUUAUCUCUCACCUUCACCGAGUAUAUCGGGCAACAGUUCCCAGCCAUCUUCAACUCUUGAUCACGAUGAUCUGGUAACUGCAUUCAGUAAGGUGUCUACAAGUGGUGAUUCCUCAGAAAAUGCUGCUAAUCCAACAAGGUGAAAGAAGAACCUGCCAGCAUUGAAGUGGCAUAUCCGAAAGUCGUGAAGAAGCCAAGGAGGCACAGCCAGAAAAAAAAAACUUUCAACAACAUUCUUAUCGAUGGAUUUAUAGAACUCUUAUACUACUUCGUAUGUUUAAUUGAAAUGCCCUAAGAACGUUCGGGUGGAGAUUGUACCGAUACGGAGAUGGAGAGUGAACUGGCAGCAAACGAGAUGUUGGUGUUGGUCGAUGGUAUAUUGCAGUCUAGUAAGAAUUGGUAGGAAUGAUUGAGCUGUUGCAAUCGGUGCAAGGAGAGAUUGGAGUAAGAAUGAAGGGGUAAUUUCAAGUAUAAAGUAGUGCGGUACGUGGUUUCAUUUCAUCAUCUUGUGGAUGGAGCAAAGAAGAUACUUGGUUUAUGGAUUUGUGUCUUGAUUAGAUUGUGUUGAUUAUUUUUUUUGAUACUAAUUUUAAUGGUGAAGUUAUGUGUCUCUUGAAUUAUGUUGAUUAAUGGUGAAGUUCGGGUGGAAUUAAGUUUGGGGGUGCCAGCAUGGCUUCGUUCUCUCGAAUUGGUGGUUGCCUGGGGUUCUAUCUAGAUGAGUUUUGCAAGCUAAUUGAAGACGAAUUGCAGAUGCAAGAAGGUGUUUACAGGGAGUUUGGUACUGUUGGUUAUGAAGCUACAAAAUGAAUUUAAUGCUGCAAUGGAUGCUUGAAUCCAUGUUGGUUAGGCUUGGUGUUGGCGAAUGGUGUUUACAGUGAACACAACAACAAUUUUGGUCCAAGAGUUGGCUGAAAUUGAUUCAAUCAAUGUGAUUUUAUAUGGGAUUCUCGGUUUAAAUGACAUGGUCUGUAUGUUACUACUGAAUUUGGGCAGUGAGAAGACGGCAAGAUGUUGUUGUUGCCGGAUGAACUCGACGCAGUCUAUCUGUUCGGUGAAAUGCUCCAAAGAACACACGAACUAUAGGGAGAUGAUUGAAAGGCGUAAAUGUCUUUUACUAAACUGAACUAUUGCCACCUAUGCACUAACGGUUGUUAACUAUUUUUUGAAAAAAACCGGAUGAAAAAGGUCAAAUGUGUGGCACUAAAUAAAUUCUAGAAAAAACUUUC